GAUGAACGCUGGCGGCGUGCUUAAUACAUGCAAGUCGAGCGAACAGAUGAGGAGCUUGCUCCUCUGACGUUAGCGGCGGACGGGUGAGUAACACGUGGAUAACCUCCCUAUAAGACUGGGAUAACUUCGGGAAACCGGAGCUAAUACCGGAUAAUAUAUUGAACCGCAUGGUUCAAUAGUGAAAGACGGUUUUGCUGUCACUUAUAGAUGGAUCCGCGCCGCAUUAGCUAGUUGGUAAGGUAACGGCUUACCAAGGCAACAAUGCGUAGCCGACCUGAGAGGGUGAUCGGCCACACUGGAACUGAGACACGGUCCAGACUCCUACGGGAGGCAGCAGUAGGGAAUCUUCCGCAAUGGGCGAAAGCCUGACGGAGCAACGCCGCGUGAGUGAUGAAGGUCUUCGGAUCGUAAAACUCUGUUAUUAGGGAAGAACAAAUGUGUAAGUAACUAUGCACGUCUUGACGGUACCUAAUCAGAAAGCCACGGCUAACUACGUG
This 497-nucleotide ribosomal RNA is filed under the name uncultured bacterium. RNAcentral's name for it is "partial 16S ribosomal RNA". It matches the Rfam family "Bacterial small subunit ribosomal RNA", at positions 28 to 507 of the family's 1533-position model. The record is from RNAcentral.